RNAcentral lists this transfer RNA (90 nucleotides) under Ruminococcus bromii. RNAcentral describes it as "tRNA-Ser". It matches the Rfam family "tRNA". Rfam says of the family: Transfer RNA (tRNA) molecules are approximately 80 nucleotides in length. Their secondary structure includes four short double-helical elements and three loops (D, anti-codon, and T loops). Further hydrogen bonds mediate the characteristic L-shaped molecular structure. tRNAs have two regions of fundamental functional importance: the anti-codon, which is responsible for specific mRNA codon recognition, and the 3' end, to which the tRNAs corresponding amino acid is attached (by aminoacyl-tRNA synthetases). tRNAs cope with the degeneracy of the genetic code in two manners: having more than one tRNA (with a specific anti-codon) for a particular amino acid; and 'wobble' base-pairing, i.e. permitting non-standard base-pairing at the 3rd anti-codon position. The record is from RNAcentral. RNAcentral also lists the same sequence under 12 other names. Lineage: Bacteria; Bacillati; Bacillota; Clostridia; Eubacteriales; Oscillospiraceae.
GGAGAAGUACCCAAGUGGUGAAGGGGCUCCCCUGCUAAGGGAGUAGGUCGGGUAACCGGCGCAUGGGUUCAAAUCCCAUCUUCUCCGCCA